RNAcentral lists this ribosomal RNA (371 nucleotides) under uncultured bacterium. RNAcentral's name for it is "bacterial SSU rRNA". It matches the Rfam family "Bacterial small subunit ribosomal RNA", at positions 527 to 896 of the family's 1533-position model. The record is from RNAcentral.
AGAGGGGGCGAGCGUUAUUCGGAAUCAUUGGGCGUAAAGGGCGCGUAGGCGGCCGUGCAAGUCUUGGGUGAAAUCCCUCGGCUCAACCGAGGAACUGCCCUGGAAACUGCACGGCUCGAGGCCGGGAGAGGAUGGUGGAAUUCCCAGUGUAGCGGUGAAAUGCGUAGAUAUUGGGAGGAACACCGGUGGCGAAGGCGGCCAUCUGGACCGGUCCUGACGCUGAGGCGCGAAAGCGUGGGGAGCAAACAGGAUUAGAUACCCUGGUAGUCCACGCCCUAAACGAUGGGUACUCGGUGUCGCGGGUAUCGACCCCCGCGGUGCCUUAGCUAACGCGUUAAGUACCCCGCCUGGGGAGUACGGUCGCAAGGCUG